UACGUAGGUGGCAAGCGUUGUCCGGAUUUACUGGGCGUAAAGAGCGCGCAGGCGGUCGUUCAAGUCGCGUGUGAAAGCCCCCGGCUCAACUGGGGAGGGUCACGCGAUACUGAUCGACUCGAAGGCAGGAGAGGGUAGUGGAAUUCCCGGUGUAGUGGUGAAAUGUGUUGAUAUUGGAAGGAACGCCAGUGGCGAAAGCGACACACUGGGUCUCAACUGACGCUGAGGCACGAAAGCCAGGGGAGCAAACGGG
RNAcentral lists this ribosomal RNA (253 nucleotides) under uncultured bacterium. Its description in RNAcentral is "partial 16S ribosomal RNA". It matches the Rfam family "Bacterial small subunit ribosomal RNA", at positions 524 to 776 of the family's 1533-position model. The record is from RNAcentral.